Molecule: ribosomal RNA, 551 nt
Filed under: uncultured bacterium
Lineage: Bacteria
Description: bacterial SSU rRNA
Rfam family: Bacterial small subunit ribosomal RNA
Source: RNAcentral
UCGAGAAUAGUCUACAAUGGGGGAAACCCUGAUAGUGCGACGCCGCGUGGAUGAAGAAGCGCUUCGGUGUGUAAAAUCCUUUUCUUUGUGAGCAAAGCCAAUAAGGUGAACAGUUUUAUUGGUAAGAUAUUAGCAGAGGAAUAAGCUCCGGCUAACUCCGUGCCAGCAGCCGCGGUAACACGGGGGGAGCAAGCGUUGUCCGGAAUUACUAGGCGUAAAGGGCAAGUAGGCGGAAUAAUUAGUCAGAAGUUAAAGGCGUCGGCUCAACCGGCGUAUGGCAUUUGAUACUGUUAUUCUAGAGUAAGGUGGGGGAAGACGGAAUUCCUGGUGUAGCGGUGGAAUGCGGAGAUAUCAGGAAGAACACCGGUGGCGAAGGCGGUCUUCUAUACCAUUACUGACGCUCAAUUGCGAAGGUGUGGGUAUCGAACAGGAUUAGAUACCCUGGUAGUCCACACAGUAAACGAUAUGUACUAGGUGUUGGGGGAGAUGAUCUUUCAGUGCCGCAGCUAACGCGUUAAGUACAUCGCCUGGGGAGUACGAUCGCAAGGUUA